RNAcentral lists this long non-coding RNA (521 nucleotides) under Elaeis guineensis (African oil palm). RNAcentral's name for it is "long non-coding RNA (EGUI_LNC005565)". Lineage: Eukaryota; Viridiplantae; Streptophyta; Magnoliopsida; Arecales; Arecaceae. The record is from RNAcentral.
CCCGCUCCUCCUUGAGGUCCUCCGGUGAUGGAGUCGAUGGUCCCGAUGGGAGGUCGGUCCCCGGGCUGCUCCUCCCUUUUCUGCGGUUCAGGCGGCGGGAGGGCUCUUGGCCGGUCUCCUCUGCCCUCAGGCCUGCGGCGGAUGAAUCUGUCGAGUCGACCUCGCCGAAUGAGCUCAUCGAUCUCGUCCUGGAGCUGGAUGCAUUCCUCCGUGUCGUGGCCGUGGUCGCGGUGGUAGAGGCAGAACUUGUUGGGGUUGCGCUUCCCGGGAUGUGUGCGCAUCCUCUCCGGCCUAGGGAGCUGCUCCCUGACCUCCAUCAGUACCUGGGCCUUUGAGGCGUUGAGGGGGGCGUAGUUGCGGAAUUCCCUGGUGGGGAACCCCGCCGAAACCUGUUGUCCGGGCUUCUCUGCCUGCGUGCCCGGGGUGGAGUGUGGGCGCGCUUAUGUCCAGGAGGGGAUCGGGAGCGAGGCCGGGCUUCCUUUGGCCUCCUCUCAACUGCAGGUUUACUCGAAUCUCCCGCC